GUGAAUUUAGUUUAAAGAAAAACACCUAACUUGCAAUUAGAAGACCUAGGCUAAACCCCUUGAAUACACA
Molecule: transfer RNA, 70 nt
Filed under: Ceramaster japonicus
Lineage: Eukaryota; Metazoa; Echinodermata; Asteroidea; Valvatida; Goniasteridae
Description: tRNA-Ala
Rfam family: tRNA
About the family: Transfer RNA (tRNA) molecules are approximately 80 nucleotides in length. Their secondary structure includes four short double-helical elements and three loops (D, anti-codon, and T loops).
Source: RNAcentral